Ictalurus punctatus (channel catfish) is the source of this 1159-nucleotide long non-coding RNA. NCBI's taxonomy places the organism in Eukaryota, Metazoa, Chordata, Actinopteri, Siluriformes, Ictaluridae. The record is from Ensembl.
CAAGAAGCCGUCAAUACUCUUCAAGUCCGAUCUGUUUACAAACAUCAGGCAUUGGCCGACAUCAGACAGGUCUUGGCAGGAGAGAAUCAAGGGAAUGUGAAAAUACAGGUUCCAUGCGGUGGAUGGGCAGACGAAACCAGAGAACCGAAUCACCGACCGACGUCCAGACCAGCUGAGCUUAUAAUAACUCAUUAGUGGUGGCGAGGAGUGAUGGAAGGUCUGUUCACAUCUUACAAACGCUCACUCGUUUAUCUUCCCGAGAAAAUAGGAUAGCGCGAAUAAGAAGAAGAUAUCAGACCUCGCUGAUUAUAUAUACGAGUCAGGAACCGUCCUCGUAUGACGUCCGGUUGCGGGUUCAUCCACCAAGGCUGUAUCUGGAGGCUGACUUAUCUAUUUAUUUAUUUAUUUAUUCAUUUAUUUAUGAUGUUACUGUGGCCUUGUCCUGUGUGUGUGUAUUUUUUAACAGCGCGAGUAAAAAGCGAAUCGAGCGUCGAGACGUCCAUUGCGGGAUUGAGGAUGAGCCCUUGGAGCGUUGACACGCCGUUGACGAUUUUCAUUUCACACCGUGACACAGAAAUAUACCGCAGCGUACUUGGACUUGCUGAACCCGUCCGAUCCGAUUUCUGGAGAUUUUUUCCUCGAGAGACGUUGUGAGGACAAGCUGUACAAUGAGAAAACGUCUUUCGCUUUUAAAGGGCCUCGUCUUGUUUUCUCGGCGUCCUCCUUCGUGAUCUUUUAUUGAAGAGGUGACUCGACGGCGGCGUUGGACGCAUUCUCUCAGAAGUCUCUUAGGCUUUAACACCGUCUGAUCUUCGGAUGUGAAAGGACGACUCAAGACGUCUAAAACGAGUCCUUUUUAUAAAGGCUAUAGAAACUGUAUAUCACGUAUAUCAUGUGCCACAGUUUCAUCGUCGUUCCUUCAAACGACAUUUUUUUCCCCCCCGCCUUAUUGCGUCUCUAUCCCUGUUUCAAAAGUCCUGAUCUUCUCUGAAACUAUCUGAACGGUAAAGCAGACCAUAAGAGGCUUUAAACAUCCGUCAAUCCAUUUUCUAUCUAUUUCCGCUUAUCCUACACGGUCACGGGGGAACCUGGAGCCUAUCCCAGGGAGCAUGGGGCACGAGGCGGGGUACACCCUGGACGGGGUGCCAAUCCAUCGCAG